This 1854-nucleotide ribosomal RNA is filed under the name Triticum aestivum (bread wheat). Its description in RNAcentral is "partial small subunit ribosomal RNA". Lineage: Eukaryota; Viridiplantae; Streptophyta; Magnoliopsida; Poales; Poaceae. The record is from RNAcentral.
AUGAAACCUCUUUGUACCGAUGACUCCAGAAGGCUCUUCUAUAAAAGAGUAUUUACCGACGAGAGUGGACGCCCAAAUGAAUUUGAACAAGUGUCUAAAGAUAUAUUGAAGAAAUGUGGUGGGGUACCACUAGCCAUCAUUACUAUAGCUAGUGCUUUGGCUUGUGGCCAAGAGGUGAAACCAAAGAGUGAAUGGGAUAUUCUGCUCCAGUCCCUUGGCUGUGGACUAACAGAAGAUAACAGUUUGGUUGAGAUGCGGAGAAUACUAUCUUUCAGCUAUUAUAAUCUACCGUCUCAUCUGAAAACUUGUCUGCUAUACCUAUGUAUAUAUCCAGAAGAUAGCAAGAUUUAUAGAAAUGGACUGAUAUGGAAGUGGGUGGCCGAAGGAUUUGUCCACCAUGGAGAUCAAGGGACCAGCCUGUUUUUGGUCGGAUUAAACUACUUCAACCAGCUCAUUAAUAGAAGUAUGAUCCAGCCAAUAUAUGAUGAUCUAGGCCAGGUACAUGCUUGCCGUGUACAUGAUAUGGUUCUGGACCUUAUCUGCAACUUGUCACAUGAAGCAAAGUUUGCGAAGUUAUUGGGUGGUACUGGGGAUAGCAUGUCUUUACAUGGCAAUGUUCGUCGUUUGUCCCUUCAAGAUAGAAAUAAAGAUGAUCAAGGCACACCUCUCAGAAAUUUCACGGGUAUAUCACAAGUGAGGUCCAUUACUGUCUUUACAUCUGCUAUUAAUAUCAUGCCAGCCCUGUCAAGGUUUGAAGUUCUGCGUGUACUUGAUUUGUCGGGCUAUCUGGGAAAAAGUAGCAGCCUCCAACUUAACCUCAAGGGUGUUGGACACUUAAUUCACCUGAGGUACCUUGGUCUAGGAGGUACUGGAAUCAGGGAACUCCUGGCUGAGAUAGGAAACCUGCUGUUUCUGGAGGUGUUGGAUCUUGGAAGAAAUUAUCAGCUAGAUGAAUUGCCGCCCGCUGUUUUUAAAUUGAGAAGAUUAAUCUACCUGAAUGUUUGUCUCAAUAAGGUGGUUCCAACUCCUGGUGUGUUGCAGAAUCUGACAUCCAUUGAAGUGUUGAGGGGGAUCUUGGUCUCUCUGAACAUUAUUGCACAAGAGCUUGGCAACCUCACUAGGCUGAGGGAGCUUGUCAUUUGCUUCAAGGAUGGUAGUUUGGAUUUGUAUGAAGGUUUCGUGAAGUCUCUGUGUAACCUACAUGAUAUCGAAAGUCUAUUUAUUGAUCGCAAUGCCGGUGAAACUUCUCUUGAUCUGAUGGAUCUCUUGGGAGAACAAUGGGUGCCUCCUGUACAUCUCCAGAAAUUUGUGUCUUGUAUGCCCAGCCAACUAUCUGCACUGCAAGGGUGGAUAAAGAGAGACCCCUCGCAUCUCUCGAACCUCUCCGAGUUAAUCGUCUCGUCAGUGAAGGAGGUGCAGCAGGAGGACGUGGAAAUCAUUGGGGGGUUGCUGUCCCUUCGCCAUCUCUGGAUAAAGAGCACCCACCAAACACAGCGGCUGCUAGUCAUCCGUGCAGAUGGGUUCCGCUGUAUGGUAGACUUUGAGUUGAAUUGUGGGUCAGCAGCGCAGAUAAUGUUUGAACCAGGAGCUUUGCCGAGGGCGGAAGCAGUUGAGUUCAGUCUGGGCGUGCGGGUGGCGACAGAGGAUGGUAACUGUGGUUUCGACUUGGGCCUGCAGGGGAACCUGCUCUCCCUUCGACGGCGUGUCCGGGUUCUAAUAUAUUGUGGUGGAGCGAGGGUUGGGGAGGCCAAGGAAGCGGAGGCUGCGGUGAGGCGCGCCCUCAAAGCCCAUCCCGCAAUUGAAAUUUACAUGCUCCCGCAUAUAGCAGAAGGUACUGACGCUACACGCAACUAA